This 369-nucleotide long non-coding RNA is filed under the name Fukomys damarensis (Damara mole-rat). RNAcentral describes it as "lncRNA (ENSFDAG00000029582.1)". Lineage: Eukaryota; Metazoa; Chordata; Mammalia; Rodentia; Bathyergidae. The record is from RNAcentral.
AACUCACUGUGUAGCCCAGGCUGGUCUCAAACUCACAGUGAUCCUCCUGCCUCAGCCUGCCGAGUGCUGGGAUUACAGGCGUGAGCCACCACACCCGGCAAUUUUCUUCAGUUUCAAAGAGUCUUUUCAAAGGAUUCCUUCAAGCCCUUCGAUGGGUCACUAACCCACCACUGGCAAUCCACUGCUGGAGAGUCACCUUCUGCCAAGAGACCUUCUGGGUUCUGUAAAAAGGAGAAGCCGACUCCGGGCCCCACGCACCCCUCCUCCGCGUGGUUAUCCCUCCCGCCACUAGAUGGCAACCUCGCCCAGAGUCAGUUCCUGUGACCCGACAGGCCCAGGGCCCAGGUGAGAGCAAAUGGAGCAAAGCAG